This 482-nucleotide ribosomal RNA is filed under the name uncultured bacterium. Its description in RNAcentral is "bacterial SSU rRNA". It matches the Rfam family "Bacterial small subunit ribosomal RNA", at positions 28 to 526 of the family's 1533-position model. The record is from RNAcentral.
GACGAACGCUGGCGGCGUGCUUAACACAUGCAAGUCGAGCGGUAAGGCCCUUCGGGGUACACGAGCGGCGAACGGGUGAGUAACACGUGAGUAAUCUGCCCUUCACUCUGGGAUAACCCUCGGAAACGAGAGCUAAUACCGGAUACGACCACUUCGGGCAUCCGAUGGUGGUGGAAAGUUCCGGCGGUGGAGGAUGAACUCGCGGCCUAUCAGCUUGUUGGUGAGGUAACGGCUCACCAAGGCUUCGACGGGUAGCCGGCCUGAGAGGGUGACCGGCCACACUGGGACUGAGACACGGCCCAGACUCCUACGGGAGGCAGCAGUGGGGAAUAUUGGACAAUGGGCGAAAGCCUGAUCCAGCAACGCCGCGUGAGGGAUGACGGCCUUCGGGUUGUAAACCUCUUUCAUCCAUGACGAAGCGCAAGUGACGGUAAUGGAAGAAGAAGCACCGGCCAACUACGUGCCAGCCGCCGCCGUAACAC